This 275-nucleotide long non-coding RNA is filed under the name Lupinus angustifolius (narrow-leaved blue lupine). Its description in RNAcentral is "long non-coding RNA (LANG_LNC003274)". The record is from RNAcentral. Lineage: Eukaryota; Viridiplantae; Streptophyta; Magnoliopsida; Fabales; Fabaceae.
UCCUAUUCUCCAUACUCACCCCUCUUUUCUUUUAAACACCUUCAAUUUACUCGGGCGGGAAUCAUCACCAUCGAACCACAGAACCGUAAACCUCAGCCACCGGGCAAAGGGGAACUCACCUCACUAUCAUCCCCUUCACAACGGUCCACCGGGACCGACGGGAUUGGGAAAGAAAUGGUGGAGGUCCAUCGUGACUCCUUACACAUCGCUCGUCGGCGCCUUAUGUGUGGCCUUGCUGGAGAAGCUUGGUCCCGACAACCUCCUCCAUGGAUGAG